This is an RNA transcript of Cydia pomonella (codling moth), 4004 nucleotides long. It is a transcript of the gene named non-structural maintenance of chromosomes element 3 homolog, with no coding region annotated. The transcript is spliced from 6 exons. The record is from RefSeq and is a predicted model, not a curated record. NCBI's taxonomy places the organism in Eukaryota, Metazoa, Arthropoda, Insecta, Lepidoptera, Tortricidae.
AUGGCUUAUCGUCCCAUAGAAAAUUUGAAACUACACCUUUUUCUACUCACAAACGUGUUUGACCGUCUAUACUUCUCUAGCUAGUCUGUGGUUACAAAUUUGACAUUGACGUUUGUGUUGUGUUUAAGUUGGGAUAUUCACACGAAAUCCUUUUUUUUAUUACCGAGAUUUAAUCUAACAAAACGAUUGUAUACUUGUUUCGUAAAAAUGAGUAAAAGAAAACAUCAAAAGUCUUUGCCGCCCACCCAAAAUGCUUCAUCAGCAUCACUACAAGACUCAUCAGACGAAGAGGACCAUGUUCAUAACAUGCAGAACGCCGUUAAGGAGUGUGCUCGAUAUAUCCUUCACCGGGAAGGAAGCAAGAUCCCUAUCAAAAAAGCUGAUAUCGCCAAGCAUUUGGCUACGGCUUGCCAAACUCCAUCGCAGCAUGUCUCCAGUGUCAUUAGUGCUGUUGAAAAAUUACUUAAAAAGGUGUAUGGUUAUAAGCUGGUCGCAAUAAAAGGCAAAAGUGGGGUCCAAUACAUAGUGGUGUUGACAGAGGAGUGUGAGUCUCUCCCGUCUAAUGUGUCGGAGCCCGAGCUCAGGACCAUGCUGAUGGCUUCGCUCACACACAUAUUCAUGUCUGGGGGCAGUGUUAAGGAAGAUGACCUGUGGAAGUUCCUGAGUGAGGCAGGUCUGCUGGAGGAGAAUGACUUUGCCGGCAGGAAGGCUUUCAUUGCCACCUUCACUAGACAACUGUACUUGACAUUCUCAAAGGUUGGCGAUGGCGAUUUAGCGUGGAACGUUUUCGAAUGGGGCCAGAGAGCUCAUCAGGAAGUGCCCAAAAUGUUCCUAUUGCAGAAGAUGGCUGAGGCAUUCGAGAAAACCCCUGACCACUGGGCUGAGCAGUAUAAACAAGCGAACGAAAGUAACACUGCGGCCGCGUCAUAAAAAACUAUGUUAUCGUAAAUUACCUACUGUUCCAGUCAUUAAAUGUUGUCAUUAUUGUUAUUGUUCUAAAGUACACUUGCUUUUGACGGUAUGUAAGCAAGAUAAUACUAUAUGCAUGGCGCUGUCUCGCUCGCACACCGUUGCCGCAUUUGGGCUAUAAUCGCGAACAUCGAAGUUCGUCGAUUGCGGGCAUUUUUCUCUGUCGUGAGAGUAAAAGAGAAAGAUCCCCGCAAUUUGCGGAGUUCGGUUUUCGCGGUAGGCCCCUUGAGGGUCUACUACGAACCGCUUCGUCUAUUGCUCUAUUUGCCUCUAUUGCUCGAAUUGCCUCGAAUAUGCAAAAAAAAAAGAGGCUGAUAACGAAAUGUCACGGUGUGUUCACGGUAAGGCUUCUGAUUGCGGCGACAGUGAAGCCUGUUUCACUACCCUUGCCAGAUGUCAUAAACAUUUACAUUUACACGUCCCGUGUUUUCUUGUGCAUAGUAGGUUCUGCCAUCUUGUGGGCUACAUCGGAACAAUAAACAUCCCAUUUACGCAAGGGCCUGACACUCUUUGAUAGAGAAAGAUAGUCUUAUUGCGAUUCCUAUAAGAGGAAAGAGAAAAUAGUGCAAUGCUUUGUCUUUAUCACCGACCGGGUUUUUUUUCAUGGUCGGGUUAUGGCAGCUUAGGAAGGAGGGUGAUGGCGAUAUACAGAAAUUUAUAAGAGUGAAAGAGACAAAAUCCCGCAAGAUGCCAUACAUUAAACUGUCAAUCAUAUUGUCAAGAGUGCUAGUAAACAACGUGGUUUUCUUAUUGUAGAAGUUUUAUAAAGUGAAUGAUUGUGUUUAUUAAGUAUUUAAUGGAGGUGUAAGAAGUUUUUCGUACAAUUAACAUGGUGGGGUGUUCAGUGGUUGCCUACAAAAGCAAUAACUUGCGAAAAUAAGCGGGUGUAACAUUUCAUGCCUCUCCGACGGAGGAUGAAAUUGUUAAAGAAUGGAUUGCGGGAACUGGAAAAUCAAAUUGGAUGCCUCACAAAUACUCGCGUAUUUGUUCCAAACAUUUUGAACAACAUUGUGUCCGCAAACUGGGCAAACGAACUUUCAUCGAAAAGUUUUCUUUUCCAACCUUAUUCAUACACGUAAGUUGGCUGUUAUUAAAUAAGUAAUAGUAACUAGUGGGAAUAACCCGUUACACUAUACACUAUUAGAGUUGGUACAUCUUAACAUAGGUCUCACAGUGUUUUGAAGUAUUUAUUUGGGUUCUUUGUACACGGGUCGUCUACGGGUUUUAAUGGUAUUAAACUCUAACAAAUUAUUGGGGGUAAUUUCUGGGAAUUAAAAAUCCUACCUAUUACCAGUGGGAAUUUUAUUUCCCAGUAGUUACCAGUGGUAAAAGGUGGGAAUAAAAUUAGUGUAACUACCUGUGGUAAAAGGUGGACAAAAGUUCCUAGUAGUUACCACUAGUAACAACUUGGUGGUAACUAGCAGGAAUAACCCUAUAUAAGACCACAGACUUAAAUUUUUAAAUUGUUUCUUGGAGGCUUGGUACAUGGGAUUACGGAUUAUAUGAGUAUUAAACUCCAAAAUAAUGUAUUUAUUAAAAUUGAUUAAUUGCCCCGCAGGAGAGGAGAGAGAAAAUUCUUUUCUUCAUCAUGUCAUGGAAAUCGUCCAUUCGUGCACGUCGUCGUCGUGGCAGUCUCAACAGCAUUCUGAAGCUAUUAUUGAACUUCAUAUAAUUGAUCCACAGGUUACAAGUGUAUGUGUAAAUAAAGUUUUCUUGACCCCCACAAUAUGUACAACGCGCAACACGUAAGAUUUUUUAUUUAAACAAAUAUUCGGUUUUAAGUAACAGUUUUAAUGUAAAUGACCAUGUCAACUUAAAAUCAUAUACUGCGAAUCAAUAUUAUAGCUAUAAAUGUCAGUGCGCUGUGUUCCUUUUCAAUAUCCGCAUCGUCCUUUAGAUUUUUAGUAAUUAUAUGUCCUAGGUAUUAAAAAAUGAACACUCUGCUCAAGGCAAAACCACCGAGUGUCACCGGUUCAACUAUCGGUAGGAUUACCUGCUCGGAAGAUGAGUAUCUUACGUUUUUAGUAAUAUUGAUGAGCCAAUGAGAAUCUGCAUACGUGUCAUACACCUUUCAAUCAAUCAAUUUUUUCAUAAAUUCAAUUUAUUUGUGUUGUUCUCAAGUAAAAGGUACCGCAUUGUCGCUUAUCAUAAGGACGCUCUUACAGGUUAUUCGUAUAGAGAGCAAGCAAAUUGUAUCCUUAUGGUAAGCGACUAUGUGGUACCUUUUACUUGAGAACGACACAUUUAAUUAUUAUUUCUAGUAAGUACAGUUAUAAUAAUAUAAGUUUUGAAUAAAGAAAUUACCUCUUUUGAUAGUUUAUCCUUUUUAUUCCAACAAUCACCUAAUCUUAUAUCAACUCAAAACUUCAUAUUGGUAAGUAAGGCUUACUUACAAAUUACUACAAAAACAAAUAAACCGACUACUAGUUGCGAUUAUGUUCGUUAUUUCUCUUGUGAUACUUCGCAAGUUAGGGAGUCAAAAUGGCGACUCACUCAUUACGUAAUUUAAGUACUUGUUGCAUCAUUUUCCUAUUACAUUUUAGGGUAAUUUUUUGCGACCAUGGUAACCCCAUAUUAUGAUGUCAUGAUGACGUCAUAUAUGUCUUUCUCUUACCCCUGGUCGCUCGACUUCUUGUCUAGUUAUAUUGUAUGUCUAUGCAUUUACGCCUCGCGCCAAAAAUCUGACGGCUCCUGUGCUGCCUCCUACAGUUCAUGCACGCUCCCUAUAGUGCUUUUCUCUAACAUGCAAUGAAAUAAACAACAAAAAAAAAACAAAGUUUUAUUUAAAAAAAAAAUAUCAGUAAACAAGACAAAAACUAAGGGUCUCCGCUAGCUGGCGCGGGUGCACGGAGCGGCGGCGGCGGGUGAACAUAACAACAAUAUUUCAUUGCAUGUUUGAGAAAAAUAAAUAAUUUAAAUAAAAAAGGGUACAGGCUAAGUGGUGAGCGUUCAGCGGCCUUCACGGUCUCUUCUAAUUAAAUUAUUAUAGGUUUUAAGUCGUUUUAUAACAAAUAAAAGUUUUUCAUAUGAUUCGA